AGCGGCCUGCCUGUUCCCAGCUACAGAUUAUGAUGUCUGUGCAGCUGCCUUUCAUUCGCAGCUUCCCUGAAUGGUGCCAAAGUUAAUUCCUUCAGGAAUAGCCCCACCAGUCACAAUGAAGGGGGGUAAUGCCCAGGAUGCCCCCAUCAUUCUCACUCCUGGUGCGGGCUUGCUGCCAUCAACAGCCAAAGGGAGAGGUCAGGCAGCAGAAAAGCUUGGGAGGCCCUGGAAACCCCCAAGCUUCUCCACAACAGUGCCGGUCUCAUCUCUUGCAGCCAAGGCCAGAGUCCCACAUCAUCCAUCCUCAGGUGGGAACCCUGUAAGCCUAUAUUCCACCGUGGGAAGACCAGCAUGCUGUGCAUUGGCUCCAGGGAGCACCACACAGUCCCUGGCACUUCCAACUCUAUGUCCUUUGCAGGCGAAGAAGCUCUAUUAGCAGGUGUCUGAAGAAGGUCGCAGGUGCGAGCAGGUAGAAGCAAAGCAGGUAGAAGCUGGGAGGUGCACACACAAAAUGGGUAAAAGCGAUCCCUGGAGGUCUGGAGAGAGAACCAGGAGUGUCCUGAGGUGCUCUUACCCUCCCAUUGGACAGAUGAGCAAAGUGAGGUACAGGGACAU
This 615-nucleotide non-coding RNA is filed under the name Pongo abelii (Sumatran orangutan). Lineage: Eukaryota; Metazoa; Chordata; Mammalia; Primates; Hominidae. The record is from RNAcentral.